Molecule: ribosomal RNA, 706 nt
Filed under: Staphylococcus hominis
Lineage: Bacteria; Bacillati; Bacillota; Bacilli; Caryophanales; Staphylococcaceae
Description: bacterial SSU rRNA
Rfam family: Bacterial small subunit ribosomal RNA
Source: RNAcentral
AAGGGGGGGGAACCCCGAAUUUGUUCGGGGAGCCGUAAGUACGAACAACGGUGACGUCCGUUACGACGUUAGCGGCCCACGGGAGAGUAACACGUAGGUAACCUACCUAUAAGACUGGGAUAACUUCGGGAAACCGGAGCUAAUACCGGAUAAUAUUUCGAACCGCAUGGUUCGAUAGUGAAAGAUGGCUUUGCUAUCACUUAUAGAUGGACCUGCGCCGUAUUAGCUAGUUGGUAAGGUAACGGCUUACCAAGGCAACGAUACGUAGCCGACCUGAGAGGGUGAUCGGCCACACUGGAACUGAGACACGGUCCAGACUCCUACGGGAGGCAGCAGUAGGGAAUCUUCCGCAAUGGGCGAAAGCCUGACGGAGCAACGCCGCGUGAGUGAUGAAGGUCUUCGGAUCGUAAAACUCUGUUAUUAGGGAAGAACAAACGUGUAAGUAACUGUGCACGUCUUGACGGUACCUAAUCAGAAAGCCACGGCUAACUACGUGCCAGCAGCCGCGGUAAUACGUAGGUGGCAAGCGUUAUCCGGAAUUAUUGGGCGUAAAGCGCGCGUAGGCGGUUUUUUAAGUCUGAUGUGAAAGCCCACGGCUCAACCGUGGAGGGUCAUUGAAACUGGAAAACUUGAGUGCAUAAAAGGAAAGUGGAAUCCAUGUGUAGCCGGUGAAAUGCCGCAGAAGAUAUUGGAGGAACCACCAGUG